RNAcentral lists this ribosomal RNA (254 nucleotides) under uncultured bacterium. RNAcentral's name for it is "partial 16S ribosomal RNA". It matches the Rfam family "Bacterial small subunit ribosomal RNA", at positions 524 to 776 of the family's 1533-position model. The record is from RNAcentral.
UACGUAGGGGGGCAAGCGUUGUCCGGAAUCAUUGGGCGUAAAGAGCGCGUAGGCGGUCCGGUAAGUCGGUUGUGAAAACUGGGGGCUCAACCCUCAGAGGCCGACCGAUACUGUCGGGCUAGAGUCCGGAAGAGGCGAGUGGAAUUCCUGGUGUAGCGGUGAAAUGCGCAGAUAUCAGGAGGAACACCAAUGGCGAAGGCAGCUCGCUAGGACGGUACUGACGCUGAGGCGCGAAAGCGUGGGGAGCAAACAGG